GAAAAAUUUAGUUAAAUAAUAACAUUAGAUUGUCAAACUAAAGUAAUUAAUAUAAUUAAUAAUUUUU
This 67-nucleotide transfer RNA is filed under the name Elateridae sp. 3 ACP-2013. RNAcentral's name for it is "tRNA-Asp". The record is from RNAcentral. Lineage: Eukaryota; Metazoa; Arthropoda; Insecta; Coleoptera; Elateridae.